UAGGGAAUAUUGGUCAAUGGAGGCAACUCUGAACCAGCCAUGCCGCGUGAAGGAUGAAGGCGCUCUGCGUCGUAAACUUCUUUUAUAUGGGGCGAAAAUGCGGGAUUUAUCCUGUACUGACAGUACCAUAGGAAUAAGCACCGGCUAACUCCGUGCCAGCAGCCGCGGUAAUACGGAGGGUGCAAGCGUUAUCCGGAUUUACUGGGUUUAAAGGGUGCGUAGGCGGGACAUUAAGUCAGUGGUGAAAGCUCGUUGCUUAACAACGGAAUUGCCAUUGAAACUGAUAUUCUUGAGAUAAGUUGAGGUUGGCGGAAUGUGACAUGUAGCGGUGAAAUGCUUAGAUAUGUCAUAGAACACCGAUUGCGAAGGCAGCUGACUGGACUUUAUCUGACGCUGAGGCACGAAAGCGUGGGGAUCAAACAGG
Molecule: ribosomal RNA, 424 nt
Filed under: uncultured bacterium
Lineage: Bacteria
Description: bacterial SSU rRNA
Rfam family: Bacterial small subunit ribosomal RNA
Source: RNAcentral